GUGAAACUAGGUGAGACAGCUGUUGUACUCUACAGCAUACAGCUUCUGGUUAGAAAGAUAUAGGGUGAAACUAGGUGAGACAGCUGUUGUACUCUACAGCAUACAGCUUCUGGUUAGAAAUAUAUAGGGUGAAACUAGAUGAGACAGCUGUUGUAAUCUACAGCAUACAGCUUCUGGUUAGAAAGAUAUAGGGUGAAACUAGGUGAGACAGCUGUUGUACUCUACAGCAGUGGUAUUCAAAGUCCAGGUCUCGAGUGAACUGCAGUUUGAUCGCAGCAAAAAAACAUUAUUUUAGGAACAAAAAAUGAAGAGUACAGAUUAUUGUAUGGGUCAACAUAAAAACGUUUUUUAGAAAGAUAAUUUGAAAAAUAAAAUGUAUUUAUUGUUUUCUUUUAAUUUUGAUAAGAGAUGAACAUGUAAUGAAUUGAAGGUUAUUUGUUGAUGUAAAAAUCGGAAUUUACAGAUUUUAAGGUUAUGUUAUUUGUUUUGGGGUGGGAUGAGGUCGCAAAAAAAUGUUGUGUCAGGAAAAAAUGGGGUCCCAGCUGAACAAGUUUGAAUACCACUGUUCUACAGCAUACAGCCUCUGGUUAGAAAUAUUAUAGGGUGAAAGCAGCACAACCAGUCUCUGCUCUGCUGGACCUGUCUCUCCCUGCUGUAGAGGGCUCAAACCACCUGUAAGUGAGUGCAACACAAUAUCACACUCAAUUUGUGCAAAUAUGUACAAAAAGUAUUUCAGCAGAUUUUGUGCGUUUUUAUGUGGCUUAAUUUUUGUGAAAAUACAAAAACAAUUGCUCGAAUAACUUUCAAAAGAUUGUUCCUAGGUUUGCCCCCCAAAAAUGUAUUUUCCUAUGAAUGAAGUUGCACAAAAAUGUGUGUCUUUUCACACAAAUUAAGCCUCGCUAAAACAAACAAAAUCUUCUUAAAUACCUUUUGUACAUAUUUGCACGAGUUGAGUGUGAGAUUAUGUUGCAACGUGUUAUAAAGUGCUUGAAUUGGA
This 997-nucleotide long non-coding RNA is filed under the name Salmo salar (Atlantic salmon). Its description in RNAcentral is "lncRNA (ENSSSAG00000085304.1)". Lineage: Eukaryota; Metazoa; Chordata; Actinopteri; Salmoniformes; Salmonidae. The record is from RNAcentral.